Long non-coding RNA from Pantherophis guttatus, 1424 nucleotides. RefSeq lists it as uncharacterized. The record is from RefSeq and is a predicted model, not a curated record. NCBI's taxonomy places the organism in Eukaryota, Metazoa, Chordata, Lepidosauria, Squamata, Colubridae.
AUCAUAACCUUCCUUCUUGUACCUUGUUAGCAAGCAACAUCUCCAGCAGAAAUGGGCAACAUGGAAUCUAGCGGUGGCGGUGGUGGCGGCGGCUGCGGCUGCAACUGCGGCUGUGGUGGCGACUCUGGCGGAUCUGACGCACACGUCAUCUGUAUGCCCACCGGAGGCUGUGGCUGUGGUCCUAGUUGCUGCGCUCCUUGCUGCUGCGCUCCGUGCUGCUCUCCCUGCUGCUGCGGUCCGUGCUGCUCUCCCUGCUGCUGCUCUCCCUGCUGCUGCUCUUCGGGUUGCUGCGGUCAAUCGUCCUGCUGUUCCCAGUGCUGUAAACAGUGCAAGUGAAGUUGGCCAUCCCUUCCAGGACUUUUGAAUUGCUGUGCCACGAAGAAAUAAUAUAUGCUGCUCUGCUUCGGAUCUGAGAAGAAUGGCUGGCCCAGAGCAGUCAUGUUUGCUGCACUGGGUUUAGCCGCUACCUCCUCUGCGCAUCACUGUCUAACUUUGGCCUCUUUCUUGCUCUUAUCAUCUUCAUUUCCUGCUAUCUAUCAUAAUCCAAAUAAUCUAGUGCUAUUUUCACUCCAUUAUUGCUAGCCCUGUGCUAGGGAAGGUCGAAUCCAUCAAACAUCAACGCGCUUGUAUUUGAUCCUCCUUAAAUUCAGCUCAGCUUCUUUCCCUACCAGGGAGAUAGAAUUUAAGAAGUUCCCAGACAGAUUCAUCUUUUUUUUUUUUUUGUUCAUUUCUCCAAACAGAAAGAUUUUUAUUUAUUUAUAUAUAUAUUCAAUUGAGCAUUUGAAGUGAGGGAGCUUUGCUCAAAGAUGUUAAGCCAAGCAUACUUCUGUAUGCAUUUGAACCCCUUGCUGUUAUUUCCUGGAUCUUCCCUCCCCGAAUGCUGCAUUAUUUCUUAAUGAAUAAGCCAAUUGGAAUAAAAGGAAAAUCUGGAAUGUAAUUGCACAUCUGCCCUCUUUCAGGCUUAACCCCUGGGAGGAAAACAAUCAUUUCCCGUCUGGAUUCACUUUAGGGUAUCUGCCUUGCCAAACGACAUACCUGAAACUUUGCACCUGUCUCUGUUUUCUUCCACUAAUUGCAGGAAAAGUUCCCGAAGGGUGACUUUGGACAGGAAUCCCCCCACUCCCUCAAUUAUCUGAACCAUUUCUCUCUGUUGUCCAUUAAUUUCUGAUUUCAACUGAAUAGAUCUGGCGGGAGCCCAAAACUGUCCCAUGAUCAGAGUGACGCAGAUUUUUAAUUUGAACGGGUGAACCUGCCUCUAAUAUUCCAAUUUAAGACUUGGGGUGUCGAGAUUGCCUGACAUCUCACCUUCCCUCCUCUUCCUUUCCAAUCUGUUUUGUAACCUGAUCUUGCUUGUAUACAUAUUGUUUGGGUGACGUUUGGGUGAAUAAAGGCCUCGCCUUCUGGAAUGUGAAGGCAAUCAGCAA